RNAcentral lists this ribosomal RNA (253 nucleotides) under uncultured bacterium. RNAcentral describes it as "partial 16S ribosomal RNA". It matches the Rfam family "Bacterial small subunit ribosomal RNA", at positions 524 to 776 of the family's 1533-position model. The record is from RNAcentral.
UACGUAGGGUGCAAGCGUUGUCCGGAAUUAUUGGGCGUAAAGAGCUUGUAGGCGGUUUGUCGCGUCUGCUGUGAAAUUUCGGGGCUCAACCCCGAACUUGCAGUGGGUACGGGCAGACUAGAGUGUGGUAGGGGAGACUGGAAUUCCUGGUGUAGCGGUGAAAUGCGCAGAUAUCAGGAGGAACACCGAUGGCGAAGGCAGGGCUCUGGGCCACGACUGACGCUGAGAAGCGAAAGCAUGGGGAGCGAACAGG